This 254-nucleotide ribosomal RNA is filed under the name uncultured bacterium. RNAcentral describes it as "partial 16S ribosomal RNA". It matches the Rfam family "Bacterial small subunit ribosomal RNA", at positions 524 to 776 of the family's 1533-position model. The record is from RNAcentral.
UACGUAGGUGACCAGCGUUGUCCGGAUUUACUGGGCGUAAAGAGCGCGCAGGCGGUCGUUCAAGUCGCGUGUGAAAGCCCCCGGCUCAACUGGGGAGGGUCACGCGAUACUGGUCGACUCGAAGGCAGGAGAGGGUAGUGGAAUUCCCGGUGUAGUGGUGAAAUGCGUAGAUAUCGGGAGGAACACCAGUGGCGAAGGCGACUACCUGGCCUGUUUCUUGACGCUGAGGCGCGAAAGCUAGGGGAGCAAACGGG